UCAAAGGCUCUGUCAUCGAGUUUGUACCAUUUCCGAUUAUGGAAACGGUGGCCACAACUUUCGUCGCCUGUCUAUAUAAGAAGGAAGUGUGUGGUUCAUCAAUGUGUGCAAUUUUCUUUUUUAAAAAUCACAAAUCUUGAAGUUGAUUUUGCCUUCGACACCUGAGAUAAAAAUGAGGAACGCCAUAAGUAAGAUCACGGUUGCACGGUUUGCUGGUCGUCGACAGUUCUUUGGUGGCCUUCCUCCCACGCCAGAGGGUGACAAGGAUGGCUCGAAGGAUGGUGACAAGGAUGGUGACAAGGAUGGCUCGAAGGAUGGUGAAGAACAAGACGGUGACGACCACGAUGGUGGAGAAGCGAGGAAGACUUAAAGGAGUUCCAUGAAGUCCGAGACUUUAUUAUCAUGUUUAUUUACAUUUCCCUUAAAAUAUAAGCUCUGUGAGAGAGAGUUUAUGCCGUGGUGUUCAGUGUGUGUGUUUUUAUUUUAUUUUUGCGUUAGUUUUCUCUUUUGGAUGUUGUUCUUAGAAAUGUUGUAGUUUCUUUCCUCGGACUUAUUAAAAGAACAAAUGGUGUCUUGUGUUAGUUAUUUCUCACCGA
This 596-nucleotide long non-coding RNA is filed under the name Eutrema salsugineum. RNAcentral's name for it is "long non-coding RNA (ESAL_LNC000073)". Lineage: Eukaryota; Viridiplantae; Streptophyta; Magnoliopsida; Brassicales; Brassicaceae. The record is from RNAcentral.